GGUAAUACGGAGGAUGCGAGCGUUAUCCGGAUUUAUUGUGUUUGUAGGGUGCGUAGGCGGGCUUUUAAGUCAGCGGUAAAAAUUCGGGGCUCAACCCCGUCCGGCCGUUGAAACUGGGGGUCUUGAGUGGGCGAGAAGUAUGCGGAAUGCGUGGUGUAGCGGUGAAAUGCAUAGAUAUCACGCAGAACUCCGAUUGCGAAGGCAGCAUACCGGCGCCCUACUGACGCUGAGGCACGAAAGCGUGGGGAUCGAACA
Molecule: ribosomal RNA, 255 nt
Filed under: uncultured bacterium
Lineage: Bacteria
Description: partial 16S ribosomal RNA
Rfam family: Bacterial small subunit ribosomal RNA
Source: RNAcentral